CCAUGCCGUAAACGUUGGGCGCUAGGUGUGGGGACCUUCCACGGUCUCCGUGCCGCAGCUAACGCAUUAAGCGCCCCGCCUGGGGAGUACGGCCGCAAGGCUAAAACUCAAAGGAAUUGACGGGGGCCCGCACAAGCGGCGGAGCAUGCUGAUUAAUUCGAUGCAACGCGAAGAACCUUACCUGGGUUUGACAUAUGGAGAAAACUCACAGAGAUGUGAGGUCCUUUUGGGCUCCAUACAGGUGGUGCAUGGCUGU
Molecule: ribosomal RNA, 256 nt
Filed under: uncultured bacterium
Lineage: Bacteria
Description: partial 16S ribosomal RNA
Rfam family: Bacterial small subunit ribosomal RNA
Source: RNAcentral